RNAcentral lists this ribosomal RNA (253 nucleotides) under uncultured bacterium. Its description in RNAcentral is "partial 16S ribosomal RNA". It matches the Rfam family "Bacterial small subunit ribosomal RNA", at positions 524 to 776 of the family's 1533-position model. The record is from RNAcentral.
UACGUAGGGGGCUAGCGUUGUCCGGAAUCAUUGGGCGUAAAGCGCGUGUAGGCGGCUCGGUAAGUCCGCUCUGAAAGCCCGGGGCUCAACCCCGGGAGGCGGGCGGAUACUGUCGAGCUAGAGUCCGGAAGAGGCGAGUGGAAUUCCUGGUGUAGCGGUGAAAUGCGCAGAUAUCAGGAGGAACACCAAUAGCGAAGGCAGCUCGCUGGGACGGUACUGACGCUGAGACGCGAAAGCGUGGGGAGCAAACAGG